AGCUCUGUGGUGUACCACAUGUUAGAUUGCAAAUCUAAAGAAGUAGGCUAACAGCCUGCCGGGGCUU
RNAcentral lists this transfer RNA (67 nucleotides) under Salmo salar (Atlantic salmon). RNAcentral describes it as "tRNA-Cys". Lineage: Eukaryota; Metazoa; Chordata; Actinopteri; Salmoniformes; Salmonidae. The record is from RNAcentral.